Molecule: ribosomal RNA, 314 nt
Filed under: Ehrlichia chaffeensis
Lineage: Bacteria; Pseudomonadati; Pseudomonadota; Alphaproteobacteria; Rickettsiales; Anaplasmataceae
Description: bacterial SSU rRNA
Rfam family: Bacterial small subunit ribosomal RNA
Source: RNAcentral
AAUUGUUAGUGGCAGACGGGUGAGUAAUGCGUAGGAAUCUACCUAGUAGUAUGGAAUAGCCAUUAGAAAUGAUGGGUAAUACUGUAUAAUCCCUGCGGGGGAAAGAUUUAUCGCUAUUAGAUGAGCCUACGUUAGAUUAGCUAGUUGGUAAGGUAAUGGCUUACCAAGGCUAUGAUCUAUAGCUGGUCUGAGAGGACGAUCAGCCACACUGGAACUGAGAUACGGUCCAGACUCCUACGGGAGGCAGCAGUGGGGAAUAUUGGACAAUGGGCGAAAGCCUGAUCCAGCUAUGCCGCGUGAGUGAAGAAGGCCUU